AGGCUUUGAUCCUGGCUCAGGAUGAACGCUGGCGGUAUGCUUAACACAUGCAAGUCGAACGGUGCCUUCGGGCAUAGUGGCGGACGGGUGAGUAACGCGUGAGAAUCUAGCUCUAGGUCGGGGACAACCACUGGAAACGGUGGCUAAUACCGGAUGUGCCGAAAGGUGAAAGAUUUAUUGCCUAGAGAUGAGCUCGCGUCUGAUUAGCUAGUAGGUGUGGUAAAAGCGCACCUAGGCGACGAUCAGUAGCUGGUCUGGGAGGAUGAUCAGCCACACUGGGACUGAGACACGGCCCAGACUCCUACGGGAGGCAGCAGUGGGGAAUUUUCCGCAAUGGGCGAAAGCCUGACGGAGCAAUACCGCGUGAGGGAGGAAGGCUCUUGGGUUGUAAACCUCUUUUCUCAGGGAAGAAAAAAAUGACGGUACCUGAGGAAUAAGCAUCGGCUACUCCG
This 452-nucleotide ribosomal RNA is filed under the name uncultured cyanobacterium. RNAcentral describes it as "bacterial SSU rRNA". It matches the Rfam family "Bacterial small subunit ribosomal RNA", at positions 8 to 505 of the family's 1533-position model. Lineage: Bacteria; Bacillati; Cyanobacteriota. The record is from RNAcentral.